This is a long non-coding RNA of Cyprinus carpio (common carp), 776 nucleotides long. RefSeq lists it as uncharacterized. The record is from RefSeq and is a predicted model, not a curated record. The transcript is spliced from 4 exons. NCBI's taxonomy places the organism in Eukaryota, Metazoa, Chordata, Actinopteri, Cypriniformes, Cyprinidae.
UGCCAGUGUUCAGUACUUCUGGCGCAUCAAGAUUAGUCGCUCCUCCACAAACUCCUCCAGCAGCAUCUCUCUCUGGUCCCGCAGUGCUUGUGAUUGUUCUGGGAGUUGUGCUCUUACUGCCCUUAGUGCCACUGCUUAUACUGAUUCAACGAAAGAGAGUGAUGAGGAGAGCUCUCUCUGACUGGUACACAGGACUACACAGGACACAGACUGAGGCUGUUUAUCACGAGAUUCAUCACAGACAGCAUCACUUCACUCAGAGGGAGGGAGAUCAGUAGGAGGAUGAUGAUGUGAAGAACAGAAAUGAAGAUGAGAGAAACCUAGACUAUGAUGAUGUGGGGGAGGAGUCAAACAAAGAAGGAAGGGCCAUAUGACCCAAUGACCACACCCACUAUUUCUGUUCAUGAAAUCAUAUUACAGUUACCGGAGCUACUGGGACUUUCUUAUAUUGCUACUAAUGCAUCAAUGUGUUUUUAUGUUAUUUCAUUUUUUUAUGCUUUGCAAAAUUUGGUAACAAUGAAUGUUAGUAUUUGUGCAUUUCAGUAUUUAGCUUAUUAUUUUUUUGUACUGAUAUUAAUGCUUUUUACCUAAUGAACAAAUAAGCAAAUUAUAUUAUUCAUUCAGUCUAUAUACCGCAUUUUUAAAGAGCAGUUAAAGCAAAACUAGACUGCAGAGAUUUAUUGCACACUUCAUGUAAAAUGUGAUUUAAAAAACAUUUCACACACACAUUUAUACACCUGUCCCAACUGCAGAGUUUUACUGUGUGAUGGUGUACU